This is a long non-coding RNA of Suricata suricatta (meerkat), 591 nucleotides long. RefSeq lists it as uncharacterized. The record is from RefSeq and is a predicted model, not a curated record. The transcript is spliced from 3 exons. NCBI's taxonomy places the organism in Eukaryota, Metazoa, Chordata, Mammalia, Carnivora, Herpestidae.
AGGGGUUGGAAGCUAGGGUUUCAGAGGCUGUAUUUUUGGUGGACGGACAAAAUCGUGUGUCCACGGCAGAGAAUAAAAGCCACGUGGAGAUCAUCCCAGGAUUUGUUCAAAGCUCUCCCAUGGCCCCUGGGGCCCUGCCACUGGGCAGAGUGGCCCAGGAGGCUUUUUAGAUCUCUAGGGUGUUACAACUUUGCUGUGGCCUUGGCAGUGAUGGAGGAGGGACACUGGGAACACGUUAGAAGACAGGUAUUGAACUGAAAUCAAAUUUACGAGCACACGUGUUUAUUGGGCCUUUGUGCAGGGACAGGGGGAUUGAGUGACUUCAGCACGGAGGCAGGAGAGCAACUCUGACCGCUGGCGCUGGCCCAAGCAGAGCAGAAUGAACGCCACGAGCAGCAGUUGAAGGAAGAAUGUGGCUACGGAGCAAAACAUGGAAGACAGAGGCACCUUGCAACGAUUCCUCUAUUUGGGAUUCCAGGCCUGUGUCCCCUUCUUCCUGAGGCCAUGCAGACACAAAUGAUUAGUUUAGAAGACAUUUGCAUCUUUGACAGGACCUUGUUUUCGUUAAAUAAAGCUAUUGUUAGAGUUACA